GACGAACGCUGGCGGCGUGCCUAAUACAUGCAAGUAGAACGCUGAAGAGAGGAGCUUGCUCUUCUUGGAAGAGUUGCGAACGGGUGAGUAACGCGUAGGUAACCUGCCUUGUAGCGGGGGAUAACUAUUGGAAACGAUAGCUAAUACCGCAUAACAAUGGGUGACCCAUGUCAUUCAUUUGAAAGGGGCAACUGCUCCACUACAAGAUGGACCUGCGUUGUAUUAGCUAGUAGGUGAGGUAACGGCUCACCUAGGCGACGAUACAUAGCCGACCUGAGAGGGUGAUCGGCCACACUGGGACUGAGACACGGCCCAGACUCCUACGGGAGGCAGCAGUAGGGAAUCUUCGGCAAUGGGGGCAACCCUGACCGAGCAACGCCGCGUGAGUGAAGAAGGUUUUCGGAUCGUAAAGCUCUGUUGUAAGUCAAGAACGAGUGUGAGAGUGGAAAGUUCACACUGUGACGGUAGCUUACCAGAAAGGGACGGCUAACUACGUGCCAGCAGCCGCGGUAAUACGUAGGUCCCGAGCGUUGUCCGGAUUUAUUGGGCGUAAAGCGAGCGCAGGCGGUUUGAUAAGUCCGAAGUUAAAGGCCGUGGCUCAACCAUAGUUCGCUUUGGAAACUGUCAAACUUGAGUGCAGAAGGGGAGAGUGGAAUUCCAUGUGUAGCGGUGAAAUGCGUAGAUAUAUGGAGGAACACCGGUGGCGAAAGCGGCUCUCUGGUCUGUAACUGACGCUGAGGCUCGAAAGCGUGGGGAGCGAACAGG
This 765-nucleotide ribosomal RNA is filed under the name uncultured Streptococcus sp. RNAcentral's name for it is "bacterial SSU rRNA". It matches the Rfam family "Bacterial small subunit ribosomal RNA", at positions 28 to 776 of the family's 1533-position model. Lineage: Bacteria; Bacillati; Bacillota; Bacilli; Lactobacillales; Streptococcaceae. The record is from RNAcentral.